RNAcentral lists this ribosomal RNA (1400 nucleotides) under uncultured bacterium. RNAcentral describes it as "bacterial SSU rRNA". It matches the Rfam family "Bacterial small subunit ribosomal RNA". The record is from RNAcentral.
UUAGAGUUUGAUCCUGGCUCAGGAUGAACGCUAGCGGCAGGCUUAACACAUGCAAGUCGAGGGGCAGCGAGAUCAGUGCUUGCACUGAUUGUCGGCGACCGGCGCACGGGUGCGUAACGCGUAUGCAACCUACCCAUUACAGGGGGAUAACACUGAGAAAUCGGUACUAAUACCCCAUAACAUCCAGGGAGGCAUCUUCUUGGGUUGAAAACUCCGGUGGUAAUGGAUGGGCAUGCGUUGUAUUAGUUAGUUGGUGGGGUAACGGCUCACCAAGACAACGAUACAUAGGGGGACUGAGAGGUUAACCCCCCACAUUGGUACUGAGACACGGACCAAACUCCUACGGGAGGCAGCAGUGAGGAAUAUUGGUCAAUGGACGCAAGUCUGAACCAGCCAUGCCGCGUGCAGGAAGACGGCUCUAUGAGUUGUAAACUGCUUUUGUACGAGGGUAAACGCAGAUACGCGUAUCUGUCUGAAAGUAUCGUACGAAUAAGGAUCGGCUAACUCCGUGCCAGCAGCCGCGGUAAUACGGAGGAUUCAAGCGUUAUCCGGAUUUAUUGGGUUUAAAGGGUGCGUAGGCGGUCGGAUAAGUUAGAGGUGAAAUCCCGGGGCUCAACUUCGGAAUUGCCUCUGAUACUGUUCGGCUAGAGAGUAGUUGCGGUAGGCGGAAUGUAUGGUGUAGCGGUGAAAUGCUUAGAGAUCAUACAGAACACCGAUUGCGAAGGCAGCUUACCAAGCUACUUCUGACGUUGAGGCACGAAAGCGUGGGGAGCAAACAGGAUUAGAUACCCUGGUAGUCCACGCAGUAAACGAUGAUAACUCGUUGUCGGCGAUACAGUGUCGGUGACUAAGCGAAAGCGAUAAGUUAUCCACCUGGGGAGUACGUUCGCAAGAAUGAAACUCAAAGGAAUUGACGGGGGCCCGCACAAGCGGAGGAACAUGUGGUUUAAUUCGAUGAUACGCGAGGAACCUUACCCGGGCUUGAAAGUUAGUGACGGAUCUUGAAAGAGGUCUUCCCUUCGGGGCACGAAACUAGGUGCUGCAUGGUUGUCGUCAGCUCGUGCCGUGAGGUGUCGGGUUAAGUCCCAUAACGAGCGCAACCCCUACCGUUAGUUGCCAGCAGGUCAAGCUGGGCACUCUGACGGGACUGCCGGUGUAAGCCGAGAGGAAGGUGGGGAUGACGUCAAAUCAGCACGGCCCUUACGUCCGGGGCUACACACGUGUUACAAUGGCAGGUACAGAGGGCAGCUACCCAGCGAUGGGAUGCGAAUCUCGAAAGCCUGUCUCAGUUCGGAUUGGAGGCUGAAACCCGCCUCCAUGAAGUUGGAUUCGCUAGUAAUCGCGCAUCAGCCAUGGCGCGGUGAAUACGUUCCCGGGCCUUGCACUCACCGCCCGUCAAG